RNAcentral lists this transfer RNA (86 nucleotides) under Pterocladia lucida. RNAcentral describes it as "tRNA-Ser". It matches the Rfam family "tRNA". Rfam says of the family: Transfer RNA (tRNA) molecules are approximately 80 nucleotides in length. Their secondary structure includes four short double-helical elements and three loops (D, anti-codon, and T loops). The record is from RNAcentral. Lineage: Eukaryota; Rhodophyta; Florideophyceae; Gelidiales; Pterocladiaceae.
GGGAUGAUGGCUGAGCGGUUGAAGGCGAUGAUUUGCUAAAUCAUUAUAUAGGAUCUAUAUCAUGGGUUCAAAUCCCAUUCUUCCCA